GGAGGGAUGGUGAGUGGCUUAAGGCAUUGGUUUGCUAAAUCGACAUACAAUCUUCUUGUAUCAUGGGUUCGAAUCCCAUUUCCUCCG
Molecule: transfer RNA, 87 nt
Filed under: Salix viminalis (osier)
Lineage: Eukaryota; Viridiplantae; Streptophyta; Magnoliopsida; Malpighiales; Salicaceae
Rfam family: tRNA
About the family: Transfer RNA (tRNA) molecules are approximately 80 nucleotides in length. Their secondary structure includes four short double-helical elements and three loops (D, anti-codon, and T loops).
Source: RNAcentral